GAUGAAGAACGUAGUGAAAUGCGAUAAGUAAUGUGAAUUGCAGAAUUCAGUGAAUCAUCGAAUCUUUGAACGCACAUUGCGCCCCUUGGUAUUCCAUGGGGCAUGCCUGUUCGAGCGUCAUUUGUACCCUCAAGCUCUGCUUGGUGUUGGGUGUUUGACUCGCGGUUCUGCGCAGACUCGCCUUAAAACAAUUGGCAGCCGGCUUGUUAGCCUGGAGCGCAGCACAUAUUGCGCCUCUUGCUAGCGACUGCCCGGCACCCAUCAAGCCCAUUUAUUUGCUCUUGACCUCGGAUCAGGUAGGGAUACCCGCUGAACUUAAGCAUAUCAAUAAGCGGAGGA
RNAcentral lists this unclassified non-coding RNA (339 nucleotides) under soil metagenome. RNAcentral's name for it is "partial contains 5.8S ribosomal RNA, internal transcribed spacer 2, and large subunit ribosomal RNA". The stretch from base 1 to 120 matches the Rfam family "5.8S ribosomal RNA", at positions 35 to 154 of the family's 154-position model. The record is from RNAcentral.